UCCCUGCACUGAUCUUGCUACCUGAGAGCGCCUUCAGUUUUCCCGGUCCCCCAGGCGCCCUCCGGACGAGCACAGGUUAUUAAAGCCCGGCUCCUUUUCCCCUGCCCUCCAGGUACAGCCAUGGCUCACACUCGGGAACGCCCCGGCCCGGAGACUCCCAGCUCCGGGCUAGAAACUCCCCUUUACAGAGCCUGGAGGCCGGUGAUCUCCGGGUGGGAGAAACGAAAGCGGUCCGUCUCUGAGUAAGAGGGUGAUGUAACCCCCCGAGGUGGGUGAGGCGCCCAGAAUCCGCACCAUGGAAGACCCCGGGCACCCUAAGGGCACGCCCCACGCGGAAGUCUGGGCUGGCUCACCCCAGAUUCACCACCCAGCCCGGCUGGCCACCUUCCUGUCGGAUUCACUUCCCAAGGGAGCGGUGAAGGGUGGGUGACCUCGGGGAAUUUACACAACCUCUCCACGCCUUCUUCGUUCAUAUUACACACAUUUGUUGAGUGUUUAUUUUGGGCCAGGCCUUGAGCUGAGCUCAGGGGAUACGCUGUUUACAAAGCAGACAUGGAAAUUACAGUGAACUCAUCUGUAAAAUGGGCGGAGGGAUGGACUAUGGAGAAUUUCAUGCAGCAUAACACAGGCUUUAGCGAUUCGCAUCAAAUAUUUAUUUAUGAAAGAGCACAAAUCAUGAAUAUACAGCUGAUGCAUUUUCACAAACUGUGUAUUGAGUAUCCAGAUCAAGACACAGGACAUUACCCGUCCCCAGAAGUCUCCUAGUUCCUCUUCCAGUUACUGCCAACCCCCACCAAGAGUAACCGUCAUCUUGACUUCUAACUCCCUAAAAGGGUUUUGCCAGUCUUUGUGCCAUAUAUAAAUGCAGUCGGAUGAUGUGUACUA
Long non-coding RNA from Myotis lucifugus (little brown bat), 885 nucleotides. RefSeq lists it as uncharacterized. Lineage: Eukaryota; Metazoa; Chordata; Mammalia; Chiroptera; Vespertilionidae. The record is from RefSeq and is a predicted model, not a curated record. The transcript has 2 exons.